RNAcentral lists this ribosomal RNA (826 nucleotides) under uncultured bacterium. Its description in RNAcentral is "bacterial SSU rRNA". It matches the Rfam family "Bacterial small subunit ribosomal RNA", at positions 60 to 855 of the family's 1533-position model. The record is from RNAcentral.
AGUCGAACGAAGAGCGAUGGGAGCUUGCUCCUAUCAAUCUUAGUGGCGAACGGGUGAGUAACGCGUAAUCAACCUGCCCUUCAAUGGGGGACAACAGUUGGAAACGACUGCUAAUACCGCAUACGAUCGUAAUUCGGCAUCGAGAUACGAUGAAAGGUGGCCUUUAUUUAUAAGCUAUCGUUGAAGGAGGGGAUUGCGUCUGAUUAGCUAGUUGGAGGGGUAACGGCCCACCAAGGCAAUGAUCAGUAGCCGGUCUGAGAGGAUGAACGGCCACAUUGGGACUGAGACACGGCCCAAACUCCUACGGGAGGCAGCAGUGGGGAAUCUUCCGCAAUGGACGAAAGUCUGACGGAGCAACGCCGCGUGAGUGAUGAAGGUCUUCGGAUUGUAAAGCUCUGUUAAUCGGGACGAAAGAGCCUAGUGUGAAUAAUGCUAGGAAGUGACGGUACCGGAAUAGAAAGCCACGGCUAACUACGUGCCAGCAGCCGCGGUAAUACGUAGGUGGCAAGCGUUGUCCGGAAUUAUUGGGCGUAAAGUGCGCGCAGGCGGAUCUGCCAGUCUGUCUUAAAAGUUCGGGGCUUAACCCCGUGAUGGGAUGGAAACUACAGAUCUAGAGUAUCGGAGAGGAAAGUGGAAUUCCUAGUGUAGCGGUGAAAUGCGUAGAUAUUAGGAAGAACACCAGUGGCGAAGGCGACUUUCUGGACGAAAACUGACGCUGAGGCGCGAAAGCCAGGGGAGCGAACGGGAUUAGAUACCCCGGUAGUCCUGGCCGUAAACGAUGGGUACUAGGUGUAGGAAGUAUCGACCCUUUCUGUGCCGCAGUUAA